Molecule: long non-coding RNA, 995 nt
Filed under: Nicotiana tabacum (common tobacco)
Lineage: Eukaryota; Viridiplantae; Streptophyta; Magnoliopsida; Solanales; Solanaceae
Description: long non-coding RNA (NTAB_LNC018734)
Source: RNAcentral
CCCACGGCGGAAGGCGUGGUCUAAAGAUCAUGAAAAUAUGGGAAUCAUGCGGAAUUCCAGUUUUAUAAACCGUAAAAUGCUAAAAAAAAUAUAAUUUGGUCAUGGCGGGGCAGUGAUUAUGGUUUCUUAGGACGUAUUUGACAUCCCGAAAAAAAUUUAGGCGAUCCGGAUCCGGGGUCCCAGGCCCACGGCGGAAGGCGUGGGCUAUAGAACACGAAAAUAUGGGAAUCGCGCGGAUUUCCAGUAUUAUGGCCGUAAAAUGCCAAAAAAAGUAAUUUGGUCAUGGCGGAGCGGUGACUAUGGUUUCUCAGGCUGUAUUCGAUGUCCUAGAAAACUUUUAGGCAAUCCGGGUGCGGGGUCUCAGGCCGACGACGGAAGGCGUGGGCUACAACACACGAAAAUUUGGGACUCGCGCGGAUUUCCAGUUUUAUGGCCGUAAAAUGCCAAAAACCGUAAUUUGGUCAUGGUAGGGCAGUGAAUAUGGUUCCUUAGGCCGUAUGCGACGUCCCAAAAAUUUUUUAGGUGAUCCGGGUCCGGGGUCCUGGGCCCACGGCAGAAGGCGUGGGCUAUAGAUCACGAAAAUAUGGGAAUCAUGUGGAAUUCCAGUUUUAUUGCCGUAAAAUGCCAAAAAAAUAUAAUUUGGUCAUGGAGGGACAGUGAUUAUGGUUUCAUAGGCCAUAUUCGGCAUCCUGAAAAAGUUUUAGGCGAUCCGGAUCCAGGGUCCUAGGCCCACGGCGGAAGGCGUGGGCUAUAGCACAUGAAAAUAUGAGAAUCAUGCGGAAUUCUAGUUAAAAACAUAAUUUUGUCAUGGAGGGGCGGUGAAUAUGGUUCCUUAGGUCGUAUUCGACAUCCAAAAAAAAUUAAGGCGAUCCAGAUCCGGUGUCCCAGGCCCACGGCGGAAGGCGUGGGUUAUAGCACAUGAAAAUAUGGGAUUCACGCGGAUUUCCAGUUUUAUGGCCGUAAAAUGCCAAAAAAUGUAAUUUGGUCAUGGAGGG